CACGGUCCCCUGUUCUCCAACACUGAUGUCCCUUCCCUUUCCCACCAGUAAGAAAGAGAGCAAGAAAGAUGUAAAAGGUUAAUUGUAUCUAAGAAUACUUAUGACCGUUUGCAUUUUCUAUCAGUCACACACGGCCCUUUGUCUCUAUCUCAACGGCCUGUGACCUUUUGUUAUGCUGCCUAAUGAAACCUGGGCCAUAAAUCACACUCUCUCUUCCACUUAUUUACUGCUCUUUGGGAGUCUAUCUUUCUUCUCCCGCUCGCUUUCCUCCCUUUUUCCUUCUUUAUAUUUCAUUCUGUAUGUCUCUCUCUUUCUCUCUACCGCCCUCUGCUCAUCCUCUCUCUCUCCUUUCCUCUCUCUUUCUCAUCCCCCCUUCCCUAAAAGGAAAUGAAGAUUAGAACCUGACUCUUUCAAUACAUGUACUUCAUAUAUCUCUGGCUCUCUGUGUGUGUGUUUUAUCAUACUAUAGAUGUGUACUUCAUCAUACCAUAUAUGUGUGCUUCAUUAUACUACAGAUGUGUACUUCAUCAUACCAUAGAUGUGAACUUCAUUAUAUUUCAGACAGCCACCAGGUUAGAGGGAGGGGAGGUUAAAGGGACAGCCACCAGGUUAGAAAGAGGGGAGGUUAAAGGGACAGCCACCAGGUUAGAAAGAGGGGAGGUUAAAGGGACAGCCACCAGGUUAGAGGAAGGGGAGGUUAAAGGGACAGCCACCAGGUUAGAGGAAGGGGAGGUUAAAGGGACAGGAACCAGGUUAGAGAGAGGGGAGGUUAAAGGGACAGCCAUAAGGUUAGAGAGAGGAGGUUAAAGGGACAGCCACCAGGUUAGAGAGAGGGGAGGUUAAAGGGACAGCCACCAGGUUAGAGGAAGGGGAGGUUAAAGGGACAGCCACCAGGUUAGAGAGAGGGGAGGUUAAAGGGACAGCCACCAGGUUAGAGGAAGGGGAGGUUAAAGGGACAGCCAUCAGGUUAGAGAGAGGGGAGGUUAAAGGGACAGCCACCAGGUUAGAGGGAGGGGAGGUUAAAGGGACAGUCACCAGGUUAGAGGGAGGGGAGGUUAAAGGGACAGCCACCAGGUUAGAGGGAGGGGAGGUUAAAGGGACAGCCACCAGGUUAGAGAGAGGGGAGGUUAAAGGGACAGCCAUCAGGUUAGAGAGAGGGGAGGUUAAAGGGACA
Molecule: long non-coding RNA, 1174 nt
Filed under: Salmo salar (Atlantic salmon)
Lineage: Eukaryota; Metazoa; Chordata; Actinopteri; Salmoniformes; Salmonidae
Description: lncRNA (ENSSSAG00000085961.1, ENSSSAG00000104243.1)
Source: RNAcentral